UACGAAGGGGGCUAGCGUUGCUCGGAAUGACUGGGCGUAAAGGGCGCGUAGGCGGCUACUUAAGUCGGAUGUGAAAGCCCCUGGCUCAACUGGGGAAGUGCACCCGAAACUGAGUGGCUUGAGUACUAAAGAGGGUCGCGGAAUUCCCGGUGUAGAGGUGAAAUUCGUAGAUAUCGGGAGGAACACCGGUGGCGAAGGCGGCGACCUGGGUAGAUACUGACGCUGAGGCGCGAAAGCCAGGGGAGCGAACGGG
Molecule: ribosomal RNA, 253 nt
Filed under: uncultured bacterium
Lineage: Bacteria
Description: partial 16S ribosomal RNA
Rfam family: Bacterial small subunit ribosomal RNA
Source: RNAcentral